This 954-nucleotide long non-coding RNA is filed under the name Homo sapiens (human). Its description in RNAcentral is "non-protein coding lnc-TRIM55-1:13". The stretch from base 81 to 173 matches the Rfam family "tRNA". The record is from RNAcentral. Lineage: Eukaryota; Metazoa; Chordata; Mammalia; Primates; Hominidae.
AGUGCAAUCUUCGGUUGCCUGGACUAGCGCUCCGGUUUUUCUGUGCUGAACCUCAGGGGACGCCGACACACGUACACGUCCCUUCGAUAGCUCAGCUGGUAGAGCGGAGGACUGUAGCUACUUCCUCAGCAGGAGACAUCCUUAGGUCGCUGGUUCGAUUCCGGCUCGAAGGAGACAAGUGCGGUUUUUUUCUCCAGCUCCCGAUGACUUAUGGCACUUUCCUUGGGUGCCUUCAGUGACACAUUGCAUUCCAACGAGCAGUUUGAAAGUCUAGCGCUUUCUCCCCAUUUUGGGCCUCCCAGCCUGCACGGGACUCAUCUGAGGCUAAGCUGCCCAUAGUUCGGGGAGACCCACAGGGAAAACAAAACAAGAAACAGAGAACUUGGAAACGGACGCUGAUUACUUUGAACGUUUGCUCAACCGAGGAAGCAGGAACUGUUCGGCCCCAUCUCAAGUCCGCAGGGCGGACUGCCUGGCUCUGGGCAGAUCCGAGGUGGAUAGGACAAGGCAAAAGGUAGCCCUGGAGAGGUGAGUGGAUAAAGUCCCUGGACACAGGGGCUGCCGUUGGAGGAGGUUGUAAUGUCAUUGUCCUCCUGUGGAAGUUAACUGUGGAGAAUUAACUAGAGACCAGCGCUGAGAGAGAAUUAAUUGGAUAAAAGUUCUAUCUAGGACAGUCCUUGAGCGUAAUUUUGUGAAGCAAACACAAGACAACAACAAAACGAGUAAAACCUAAACACACAUCCACACACUCACUGAAAGAUUCAGAGAUUGCACAGAACACAAAGACUUUUCUGGUAAUAAAAUCUCCCUAUCCUAAUUUUCUAGAAAAAAAGCUGUUGAAGCCACCGCGCAGUUCUUACAAGACAUAACACAAAUCUUCCACACAAAGGCAGAAAUACAGUAUCAACCUUUGUGAGGAGUACAGCAAAUAAAUGAUGUUUCUUUAGGGUCCUA